This 101-nucleotide transfer RNA is filed under the name Schaalia odontolytica. Its description in RNAcentral is "Actinomyces odontolyticus tRNA-Ser(cag)". The record is from RNAcentral. Lineage: Bacteria; Bacillati; Actinomycetota; Actinomycetes; Actinomycetales; Actinomycetaceae.
CUCCUUGACAGCGCGCACGAAACGAGCGCCCGACGCGCUCAGGCUGCGACCGGGAUAAGUGUCCCGUGCUUGAGCUCGUAGAUCGUAUCUACGUAGGGCAG